UACCCAUGGUCGUAAGGGAUUCCUUUUAAAUCCCUGAACCACAUAAAUUUGGUGUGCUCCUCUGUUCCUAAACUCUCUGACCUCUCUUUUAUUUGAUUGUUCACUAUGACAUAGGUGCUUUGCUGCAAAUACUCCCUUCUUUAGAAUGUAAUCUAGGAUUACGUAUAGUGCCAAUAUGGGAGUAUCCCAUUAAUCAAUGUGAUGAAAUUCGGCAUGCUUAUAUUAAAGCAGGAUCAUA
Molecule: long non-coding RNA, 238 nt
Filed under: Elaeis guineensis (African oil palm)
Lineage: Eukaryota; Viridiplantae; Streptophyta; Magnoliopsida; Arecales; Arecaceae
Description: long non-coding RNA (EGUI_LNC029704)
Source: RNAcentral